AUAAACCACGAUAAUAACCUCGGGACUUAUUAACUUUGAAUGCAUGGUGUUGGUUGCAUCAUCCGUAUUUUCAAAUUCCCACAUUCAAAAGACCCGCCUUUGGUGAAGGCAAAGGUAUUGUGCUAUUCUCUCCGAGGGGCGGAUUCCUUAUCAGCCUUUUCAGUGUAUGUGAUUCUAACUAAGUCUUAUAGAUCCGCCGCUCUGUUCUACCUAUACCAUGUAAACAGUGAACAUAGGAUUUCUGUGAUUCUGUUCUUUUAAAAUUCAGUGAAUGGAUUAGACGCCGUUUUCAACCUUUAAAAACCCGGUGACUUGAAAAAAAAUAAAUUAAAACUUGUACCGAGAAUGGAAUUUAAAUGUGAUUAACAUAUUGAAUAUGGGUUUGUAUUAAAGAUUCAAAAAUUAAAUAUAAUUUGUGUUUAUUUCUUUUAAAAUAUAAAUAUUUCAUUAUUUAAUGAGAUAAAGUAAAAAUUCAGGAAAAAUACUUUUGUAACCUCGACUUGAAUGUUUUGAAAACGUUUUAAAAACCAAACAAAUUAAACGUGAA
Saccostrea cuccullata (small rock oyster) is the source of this 547-nucleotide long non-coding RNA. RefSeq lists it as uncharacterized. The record is from RefSeq and is a predicted model, not a curated record. Lineage: Eukaryota; Metazoa; Mollusca; Bivalvia; Ostreida; Ostreidae. The transcript has 3 exons.